UGCGUAGGCGGUGUCACACGUCCGGGGUGAAAUCCCAUGGCCUAACCAAGGGUCUGCCUCGGAUACGGUGGUACUUGAGUGCGUGAGGGGUGAUCGGAACGCGUGGUGUAGCGGUGAAAUGCGUAGAUAUCACGCGGAAGGCCAACGGCGAAGGCAGAUCACUGGUGCGCAACUGACGCUGAGUGCACGAAAGCGUGGGGAGCAAACAGGAUUAGAUACCCUGGUAGUCCACGCCGUAAACGAUGGGCACUGGGUCGUCGUGGUACUAUGCCAUGGCGGCCGUAGGAAAUUCAUUAAGUGCCCCGCCUGGGGAGUAUGGUCGCAAGGCUGAA
This 332-nucleotide ribosomal RNA is filed under the name uncultured bacterium. RNAcentral's name for it is "bacterial SSU rRNA". It matches the Rfam family "Bacterial small subunit ribosomal RNA", at positions 568 to 898 of the family's 1533-position model. The record is from RNAcentral.